UGCAUCAUGUUUUCUUCUGGAAGUUAUAUAUAUAUAUAUGAAAUCAUGGCCCCUAAAUAUGAAUGUAAGUAUUAGGGAUUUUUUUGCUAUUGUUGCAGAGGAGGGUCUGCGACUGUUUGUUGGGCCUGGAGGCAGCACUGCACUGGGCUCUCAGCACACCAGGGUUGGUGCAGGGGCUUUUGAACAGGUGGUUAUAAAACGCUAGACUGAAUGUCCGUGGGGGGACGUGAUGUAAUAUCCUGUGUCAAAUGAGAGGACAGCAGUUGUCUUCUAUCACAAGCAGCAGUUCUAUGCUGGGCUCGUGAUACAUUCAUGGGCUCUAGGAAUUUGUGGAAUCACUGCUCUCCCUAGUGGUAAAGCUCUGAAGACAGACAGAAGCUUUGCUUUAGCUCAAAGUAACAGGAAAUACUUGGAUUGGUAUUAUUUUACCAAAAAUAGAUGGUUAUUGUUCUCACAGACAUUUAAAAAAAACAUGCUUGGAACCACUGGUGGAACUGAAAAGGCGUGUUACAGAUUAAGGACUAUUUUUAAUAUAGAAAUUUAAAUCCACUGACAUGGACUGAUGCACUUUGGAUUGUCUGAUGUUUACUUGGUUGGAUGCUGCUAAUUUGAGGGGAGCGGGGAGGGGGGGAUCAAGUACCAAUCAUACUAAUUUAACGUAUACCACUGAUUUCAUCAUAUUUUGUCAUUUUGUGAGGCCAUAAAGGUAGUCUAAUUGUUACAAAUGUGUUGAUUUAAAAGAAAACUGUAUAAACAGUAAACAGGUGACAGAUGGUCUGUACCGUAGGUGGCUGUUGCUUGAACACCCGGUCGAAGUGACCCUCAAACUAGUGAGUUUUCUAAGAUCCCAGUUAGUGCACCGUUUUGUCAGCAUAAACAAGACUCAACCACAAGUUGCACAGGGAUGGACACUGCAAAUAGUGGACUGUUUGUUAAAAUGGCAUAAUCCAAAUUCUAUUUACAGGCAUUCUUUUUCAGGAAAAAUGCAGAAGACCUGAGCCGUUCAGGAUCCAUGUAAUGUUUUUUUUUUGUUUUUUUGGAAAAGGGUUUCUAAAAGAGGGAGAUUUUAUACAAUUUUAUUACUGCUAAAAUUUGUUUGAAAGAACAUGCCAAUUUUAAAAGCUAAUAAAAAGGGCUGUUUAUCAGAUUUCAUAUUGUAUAUUACAACUGUAAUAUUUUUAAGAAUGUAUAUAAGGAAAAAAACAUUAAUUUAUGUGUUCAGGCUUUCUAAUAGUGACAAUUGUCAAACUACAGGAAAAACUAAAGGAGUAAAAGAAAUAAAGAUGUAUGAUAUAUCUGAUGUUUCAAAGCAUACAUGUCAUGAAGUAUAUACCUGAAUACUUUAAGACAAAAUGCAAUAUAUGCACUUCACUGUAAUAUGUUACAUUUUAAGAAUACAUUAGAGAUUUUGUUUUGAAAAAAAUAAACUUAUAUAAUU
Molecule: long non-coding RNA, 1438 nt
Organism: Sinocyclocheilus grahami
Lineage: Eukaryota; Metazoa; Chordata; Actinopteri; Cypriniformes; Cyprinidae
Exons: 2
Source: RefSeq, a predicted model, not a curated record